CAGCAGCCGCGGGAAUACGUAGGGUGCAAGCGUUAAUCGGAAUUACUGGGCGUAAAGCGUGCGCAGGCGGUGUUGUAAGACUGAUGUGAAAUCCCCGGGCUCAACCUGGGAACUGCAUUGGUGACUGCAACGCUGGAGUGCGGCAGAGGGGGAUGGAAUUCCGCGUGUAGCAGUGAAAUGCGUAGAUAUGCGGAGGAACACCGAUGGCGAAGGCAAUCCCCUGGGCCUGCACUGACGCUCAUGCACGAAAGCGUGGGGAGCAAACAGGAUUAGAUACCCGCGUAGUCCCUGUCUCUUAUAC
RNAcentral lists this ribosomal RNA (301 nucleotides) under uncultured bacterium. RNAcentral's name for it is "partial 16S ribosomal RNA". It matches the Rfam family "Bacterial small subunit ribosomal RNA", at positions 509 to 807 of the family's 1533-position model. The record is from RNAcentral.